UACAGAGGGGGCAAGCGUUGUUCGGAAUUACUGGGCGUAAAGGGCGCGUAGGCGGCCUGUUAAGUCGAACGUGAAAUCCCCGGGCUCAACCCGGGAACUGCGUCCGAUACUGGCAGGCUUGAAUUCGGGAGAGGGAUGUGGAAUUCCAGGUGUAGCGGUGAAAUGCGUAGAUAUCGGGAGGAACACCGGUGGCGAAGGCGGUUCUCUGGGCCUGACCUGACGCUGAGGAGCGAAAGCGUGGGGAGCGAACAGG
This 253-nucleotide ribosomal RNA is filed under the name uncultured bacterium. RNAcentral's name for it is "partial 16S ribosomal RNA". It matches the Rfam family "Bacterial small subunit ribosomal RNA", at positions 524 to 776 of the family's 1533-position model. The record is from RNAcentral.